CCUACGGGAGGCAGCAGUGGGGAAUAUUGGUCAAUGGGAGAGAUCCUGACCCAGCCACGCCGCGUGAGUGAAGACGGCCCUAUGGGCUGUAAACCUCUUUUGUCGGAGCACAAAACCCGGGACGUGUCCCGGACUGCGUGUAUCCGACGUAAACGCAUAGGCUAACUUCGGACCAGCUGCCGCGGUACUACGGGGGAUGCGAGCUUUAUCGGGAUUUAUUGGGUUAAACGGGUGCGUGGCGGGUCCUUUAAGUCAGCGGGAAAGUGGCGGGGCGCAACCCAGUCGAGCCGUUGAAACUGGCAGACGUGAGUGGGCGAGAGGAACGCGGAAUGCGCGGUGUAGCGGUGAAAUGCGUAGA
This 358-nucleotide ribosomal RNA is filed under the name uncultured bacterium. RNAcentral describes it as "partial 16S ribosomal RNA". It matches the Rfam family "Bacterial small subunit ribosomal RNA", at positions 338 to 694 of the family's 1533-position model. The record is from RNAcentral.